Molecule: ribosomal RNA, 497 nt
Filed under: uncultured bacterium
Lineage: Bacteria
Description: partial 16S ribosomal RNA
Rfam family: Bacterial small subunit ribosomal RNA
Source: RNAcentral
GAUGAACGCUGGCGGCGUGCCUAAUACAUGCAAGUCGAGCGAACGGACGAGAAGCUUGCUUCUCUGAUGUUAGCGGCGGACGUGUGAGUAACACGUGGAUAACCUACCUAUAAGACUGGGAUAACUUCGGGAAACCGGAGCUAAUACCGGAUAAUAUUUUGCACCGCAUGGUUCAAAAGUGAAAGACGGUCUUUCUGUCUCUUAUAGAUGGAUCCGCGCUGCAUUAGCUAGUUGUUAAGGUAACGGCUUACCAAGGCAACGAUGCAUAGCCGACCUGAGAGGGUGAUCGGCAACACUGGAACGGAAACACGGUCCAGAGUACUACGGGAGGCAGCAGAAGGGAAUGUUACGCAAUGGGCGAAAACCUGACGGAGCAACGCGGCGUGAGUGAUGAAGAUCUUCGGAUCGUAAAACUCUGUUAUUAGGGAAGAACAUAUGUGUAAGUAACUGUGCACAUAUUGACGGUACCUAAUCAGAAAGCCACGGCUAACUACGUG